RNAcentral lists this ribosomal RNA (3481 nucleotides) under Hevea brasiliensis (rubber tree). RNAcentral's name for it is "eukaryotic LSU rRNA". It matches the Rfam family "Eukaryotic large subunit ribosomal RNA". The record is from RNAcentral. Lineage: Eukaryota; Viridiplantae; Streptophyta; Magnoliopsida; Malpighiales; Euphorbiaceae.
ACCCCAGGCUCAGGCGGGAAACACCCGCUGAGUUUAAGCAUUAUCAAUAAGCGGGGAAAAGAAACUUCCAGGGAUUCCCUAAGUAACGCGCGAGCGAAACCGGAAGAGCCCAGCUGGAGAAUCGGGCGGGCCUCAGCGUCCGAAUCUUGUAGUCUGGAAAGCGUCUCGCGGCGGACCGGCCAAGUCCCUGGAAGGUGGCGCCGGGAGGGUGAGGCCCGUCGUGCCCGGGAAACAGCCGUGGUUCGCACCACGACGGCGCUGUCUUGCGAGUCGGGGUUGUUUGGGAAUGCAGCCCCAAUCGGGGCGCGUAAUUCCGUCCAAGGCUAAAUACGUGCGAUGAGACGAUAGCGACAAGUACGCGACGGAAAGAUGAAAAGGACUUUGAAAAGAGAGUCAAAGAGUGCUGAAAUUGUCGGUGAGGGAAGCGGUAUGGGGGCCGGCGAUGCGCCCCGGCGGAAUGUUGGACGGCGACAAGCCAGGUCCGCCCGAUCGGCUCGAGGGCGCGGAACCGACGCGGAUCGCGCGGCUUGCGGGCCCAAGCCGGGCACUAGAACGCCCGCGGACGGACGCGCGUCGCAUGCGAUCUUGACAUCAGCGCGCGCCGUCCACUGCGUGCCCGGCACCGCGCGCUCUGGCGUCGGCCAGCGGGCUCCCCAUUCGGCCGUCUUGGGAAACACGGGACCCAAGGAGUCUGACAUGGUGUGCGAACGUCAAACGGGCGAGUAAACCCGUAAGGCGCAGGAGCUGACUGGCGGAUCCCCCGAGGGGUUGCACCGCCGACCGACCUCGAAUCUUCUGAGAACGGAGUCGAGGUGAGAGCAUGCUGUCGGGACCCGAAAGUUGGUUGAAUGAUGCCUGAGCGCGGGGAAGCCAGAGGAAACUCUGGUGGAUGGCCCGCAGCGAUACUGACGUGCAAAAACAUCGUUCGUCUGACUUGGGUAUAGGGGCGAAAGACCUAAUCGAACCGUCUAGUAGCUGGUUUCCCAUCCGAAGUUUUCCCUCGGAUAGACUUUGGAGACUCGGGACGAGUUUCUAUCGGGUAAAGCCAAUGAUUAGAGGCAUCGGUGGGCGCAAACGCCCUCGACCUAUUCUCAAAUUUAAAUAGGCUUUAGGCGGCGCGUCUGCUUCGCUGAGCGGCGCACGGAAUCGAUAGAGCGUCCAAGUGGGCCUUUUUGUAAGCAGAACUUGGCGAUGCGGGACUUGAACGGAAGCCGGUUACAGGUGCCCAACUGCGCCUAAACCCACGAACCCACAAAGGGUGUUGGUCGAUUAAAGCAGCAGGGGACGUGGUCAUGGGGAAAGUCGAAAUCGUAAGGAGUGUGUUAACAACUCACCUGCCGAAUCAACUAGCCCGAAAAUGGAUGGCGCUAAGCGCCGCGACCUUAUACCCGAGCCGUCGGGGCAAGAGCCAGCCCCGUGGGAGUAGGAUGGGCGCGGCAGGCCGCUGCAACCGCGGGCGCAGCCCGGGCGGAGCGGCCGCACGGUGCAGAUCUUUUGGUGGUAGUAGCAAAUAUUCAAAUGAGAACUAUUUGAAGGCCGAAGAGGGAAAGGUUCCUGUGAACGGCAUGUGCACACUGGGUUAGUCGAUCCUAAGAGACGGGGAGCCGUCCGAAGCGCGUCCGCGCUCGGCGAGCUUCGAAAGGCGAAUACGGAUGUUUUAAAAUUCCGAACCGGACGCGGCGGCUGACGGGCAACGUUAGGGAGUCAGAGACAUGUCAGGCGGGGUCCUCGGGGAGAGUUAAUUUUGCUGUUUAACGGCGCCGCCCACCUGGAAACGACUUCAGUCGGAGGUAGGGUCACGCCGGCGGAGAGCACCGCACGUCGCGCGGUGUCCGGUGCGCCCCGGCGGGCCCGUGAAAAUCCGGAGGACCGAGUGCCUCCCGGCCCGGUCGUACUCAAUAACCGCAUCAGGUCUCCAAGGUGACAGCCUCUGGCAAUGGAACAAUGUAGGCGAAGGGAAGUCGGCCAAAGAAUCCGUAACCUCGGGAAAAGGAUUGCUUCUGAGGCUGGGGCCGGGGUCCCCAGUCCCGAACCCGCUCGGCCGUCGGCGGACUGCUCGAGCUGCUCCCCGGCCGAGAAGGGGUCGCGCGUGCGGCGGGGGGGACGGACUCGGAAGGCCCUCCCGGGGGCCUUCCGGCUGUCGAACAAAAUCGAUCGACUCAAGAACUGGUACGGGACAAGGGGAAUCCGACUGUUUAAUUAAAAACAAAGGCAUUGCGAUGGUCCCUGCGGAUGCUCACGCAAUGUGAUUUCUGCCAGUGCUCUGAAUGUCAAAGUGAAGAAAUUCAACCGAAGCGCGGGGUAAACGGCGGGAGUAAAACUAUGGGGGGGGGGGGGCUUUUUCCUUCCUUAAGGUAGCCAAAUAGCUCGUCAUCUAAUUUAGUGACUCGCGCGCAUGAAUGGAAUUAACGAGAUUCCACUGUCCUGUCUACUAUCCGCGAAACCACAGCAAGGGAACGGGCUUGGCGGAAUCAGCGGGGAAAAGACCCUGUUGAGCUUGACGUUCUAGUCGACUUUAUGAAUGAUUGAGAGGUGUAGGAUCAGUUGGAGCCGAAACGGCGACGGUUGAAAUACCACUACUUUUACGUUAUUUUACUUAUUCCGUGAAUUUCGGAGGCGGGGCCCUCGCCCCUUUUUUGGACCAAGGCCGCCACGGCGGGUGCCGAUCCGGGCGGCAAACAUUUUCAGAGUGGGAGUUUUGGCUGGGGGCACAUCUCUGUUUAAAAGAUAACGCAGCGUGUCCUAAGAUGAGUCAACGAGAACAGAAAUCUCGUUGGAACAAAGGGUUAAAAGCUAGUUUUGCUUCUGAUUUCCAGUAACGAAUACGACACCGUGAAGCUGGCCUCAUCGAUCCUUUGACCUUCGGAGAUUUGAAGCUUGACGGUGUUAGAAAAGUUCCACAGGGAUAACUGGCUAUGUGGCAGCCAAGCGUUCAUAGCGACGUUGGCUUUUUGAUCCUUCGAUGCGGCUCUUCCUAUCAUUGUGAAGCAGAAUUCACCAAGUUGUUGGAUUGUUCACCCACCAAUAGGGAACGUGAGCUUGGGUUUAGACCGUCGUGAGAAGGUUAGUUUUACCGCUACUGAUUGACCGCGUCGCGAUAGGUAAUUUCAACUAGUACGAGAGGAACCGUUGAUUCGCACAAUGUCAUCGCGCUUGGUUGAAAAGCCAGUGGCGCGAAGCUACCGUGGUGGAUUAUGAUCUGAACGCCUCUAAAGUCAGAAUCCGGGCCAGAAGCGACGCCCGUGUCCGGCGCCCGCUUGCCGACCCGCAGAGUGCGGCCCUCCGCCCAGAGGGCACGUUUUCGUUGGCCAGCCCCCGGCGGCGGACGAGCCGCGCGGGCCGCCUUGAAGUACUAUUCCCACCGGGCGCUUCGGAGCAGAAUUCCUUUGCAGACGACUUAAAUCGCGACGGUUUGUAGUGGCAGAGUGGCCUUGCUGCCCGACAGUCCACUGAGAAUUCAGCCCUUUUGUCCGAGCUCGAU